AUUAUUAUACUUUGCCCAAAAAAAAGCAAAAAAAAAACAAAACAAAAAC
Molecule: small RNA, 49 nt
Filed under: Arabidopsis thaliana (thale cress)
Lineage: Eukaryota; Viridiplantae; Streptophyta; Magnoliopsida; Brassicales; Brassicaceae
Description: ATSL113680
Source: RNAcentral